CAGCCGCCGCGGGAAUACGUAGGGUGCGAGCGUUAAUCGGAAUCACUGGGCGUAAAGCGUGCGCAGGCGGUUGUGUAAGACAGGUGUGAAAUCCCCGGGCCUAACCUGGGAACUGCGCUUGUGACUGCACAGCUAGAGUAUGGCAGAGGGGGGUGGAAUUCCACGUGUAGCAGUGAAAUGCGUAGAGAUGUGGAGGAACACCGAUGGCGAAGGCAGCCCCCUGGGCCAAUACUGACGCUCAUGCACGAAAGCGUGGGGAGCAAACAGGAUUAGAUACCCCUGUAGUCCCUGUCUCUUAUAA
RNAcentral lists this ribosomal RNA (301 nucleotides) under uncultured bacterium. RNAcentral describes it as "partial 16S ribosomal RNA". It matches the Rfam family "Bacterial small subunit ribosomal RNA", at positions 509 to 809 of the family's 1533-position model. The record is from RNAcentral.